GAUGAACGCUGGCGGCGUGCUUAACACAUGCAAGUCGAACGGAAAGGCCCAAGCUUGCUUGGGUACUCGAGUGGCGAACGGGUGAGUAACACGUGGGUGAUCUGCCCUGCACUUCGGGAUAAGCCUGGGAAACUGGGUCUAAUACCGGAUAGGACCACUUCUUGGAUGUUGUGGUGGAAAGUUUUUUCGGUGUGGGAUGAGCUCGCGGCCUAUCAGCUUGUUGGUGGGGUAAUGGCCUACCAAGGCGUCGACGGGUAGCCGGCCUGAGAGGGUGUACGGCCACAUUGGGACUGAGAUACGGCCCAGACUCCUACGGGAGGCAGCAGUGGGGAAUAUUGCACAAUGGGCGCAAGCCUGAUGCAGCGACGCCGCGUGGGGGAGGACGGCCUUCGGGUUGUAAACUCAUUUCGCUAGGGACGAAGCGUUUUGUGACGGUACCUGGAGAAGAAGCACCGGCUAACUACGUG
This 467-nucleotide ribosomal RNA is filed under the name uncultured bacterium. RNAcentral describes it as "partial 16S ribosomal RNA". It matches the Rfam family "Bacterial small subunit ribosomal RNA", at positions 28 to 507 of the family's 1533-position model. The record is from RNAcentral.